GGGGAAAUGUGGACACAGAGAGAGGGAAGAAAAGUGAAGACGCAGGGAGAAGAUGGCUCCGUGACUGAGUGACUCAUCUGCAAACUGAAGAAUGCCUAGGCCUGCCAGAAGCUAGGAGAGAGGCCUGGAAAACGUCCUUCCCCAGGGCCUUCGGAGGGAGCAUGGCCUUUCUAAGCCUUGAUUUUGGACUUCCAGCCUCCAAACUUGUGAGACAAUAAAUUUCCAUUAUUCUAAGCAACCCAGUUUAUGGUACUUUGUUACUGCAGCCCUUAGCCAACUAAUACAGAGCCUUUGAUCAAAUCUGGACCAGGAUUAAGAGGGUUUUAGAUCGCUUUCCUAUUUCCAUUACAGGGAGCAAGUUCCUUUAGGCUUUUACCCUUUUUCUGGCAACUCUAAGCCAGCACUUCAUAUAAAAUAGCCAGAGAGAAAGCCCACUCUAUGUAGAGUUUAUGAAGAUCACUUUCUCACACUAUCCUUUUUCAAAAAUCCAUCACUUUGAAUUAAGAAAAUAAUCCCGUGAAGAAAACCUUGGAAAUAUUUCCUACAAUCAAUAAUUAGCCAAUUGCCUUAGUUUCCUAUAACUGCUAUAAUAAAAGAGGUCUCUCUCCUCCCUUUUUGUUUCUGUUGCUUCAUCACUGUUACUGUCUUUGAACCUCCUACCUCCCUCUUAUAAAGGCCCUUGUGAUUACAUUGAGCUCAGCCCGAUAAUCCAGAAUAACCUCCUCAUCUCAAGAUUGUUAACAUCAUACCUUCAAAGUCCUUUUUGCCAGGUAAGAUAAAGUAUUCACAGACUCUGAAGAUUAGGAUGUAGACAUCUUUAGAGGACCAUUAUUCAGUCUACGACAACAGUAAGUACCCCCUUUGCAAAAUAUGUUGCUAUAAAUACCAAUUAAAUCUUGAAAGAAACUUUUCAAAAGCUGGUCUUUUAAAAUUGUUCCUAAAGAAAUAGCUGGGAAAAAAAAUACAGAUUUAAUAGAACUGCUACACCUUUUCUAUGAUAAUCCAUUCAUUUAUUCAGUAGAUAUUUAUUUUUAAAAGUGCCAUGUUUCCAGCACUUUCUCGGUUUCUCCUCAUGGAACUUACAUCAUAGUAGAGGGAGGAAAUUACAAUAACUAAACAAAAAAAUAAGUGCUAUAGUUUCCAGGCCCUGUGAAAUAAAGUUGAGUGAAGGAAGAUAAUUACUAUUUGGGACAAGGAUAUUUCUCUAAAGAAAGUGACAUUGGUACAGUCUUGAAUUAAAUGAGAGAGAAGACAAAGUGAAUACUUGUGUGUAGAUAUUUCUGGGGAGGAACAUUUCUAUUAGGAGGUUCUUUGCGUCAAAAACAUACUAUUCUUAAGUGAAUAAUAAUUUACUAUAUCGUAAUAAAAAUAAGAAAUUUCUCUUAAUCUGUUGUCGUACCAGAUAUAACCUAAGGGAUCCUGACGCAAAAUAAAAAAUGAGGAUGCUCUCUCACAGGUACGACGUGGAAACAGACUCAGAUAGAAUCAACUCCAUAAUUUUCAAAAGGAGAAGAGUUCAGUCAUUAAAUUCUUUACUCAUUAAGCUCCAUAGAUAUCAGAACAUCAUUUGAAGAUGCUUGUUUCUCCUCUGCCCAAGAUGAGAGUCAAAACUUUCCCCAGAUAUUCAUGCCUGCCAAGCCUAUUCAGAAAAGUACUUAAGCAUUCCUGGAUUCAUGGUGAACAAGCAGAGCCUCAUUCCCUGUAAUCAUACAAAAUAGACUCUUUCAUUUGCUGAACAGCGUGAUGCGGGAUUGCGGCAACCGUACGUACUGCUUCUUGAAGAAAGGUAAGUGUGCUUACUGCUAAAUUAACAUUCCCUUGGGAAAAAAAAAACUAAAUUGUGUUUUCUGGUGGCUAAUCACAGAAUGGGUAAAUUCUAUGACUCAAGAUAAAUACCACCUGCUGACAAUAGUUAUUUCCUUAUUCUCAAUUUUAAUUAAUUACGUUGUCAAAGGUUUUAGCAAACUCUUGGAAGCUGUACCAGAAGUAAUGCUCAUAAGUUAAAUAAAUAAGAGUUUACAUUGCAUCAUUAAAACCCAAAAGCUAUAAUCACACCACGAUAUGUAUUGUCUGAUAAAAUAUGACAGCAAUAAAUAGGCAGAAUUUGCCAAGAUAUACAUUUAUGUUGAAAUUUGCUUUCCUGAAUUAUUAAAUUGAAGACAUGAUUAAAGAGUAACAAAAUCAAGGGAUUUAAUCAAAUUUCAUAAUAUGCAGUUUUUGUAGGUGAAAAGAAGUAUUGAACAUCUCUAGAAGCAAUAAUUAGUAUUCCGCUUAACAGCCUACUGCUUAUGCCUCCAAAAUAGAUUGCUUAAAUUAAACAUAUUCAUAUAGAAAUAAUCAUGUUUGGCAAAAGUCCCUGACCAUUUUCUUGAGAUUUACAGAGGAAAAGAUAUAUGUUUCAUGGUACAGAAAUAUAUUAAUAAGAUAAUAUUUACUUUAUUUCAUUUCUUCAAACUUUUCAUAAAAUACUAUAAUUAAUUUUGUAGGUUAAAUAUUUAUGGUCUCAUUAAUAUUUACAAGACAUUUGUCUUCUUUGUUAUACCUUUGCUAAAAUUGUUAAGGUGUAUUUGGCCAACAUAAUAACUGUAAAGAAUUUUGCAGAGAUGAGAAAAAUUAAAAUGGUUAUAAUGAAAUCCCAUUUUUAAGACAUGAUUAUUUACAAGUAAUUUUGUGUUGUAUACAUCAAAAUAUUUAAGAAGGAUAAAAACUUUGAGAAAUCUAUUUGAAAAGCUAGUGUUUGAAAUAAAACCUGGAAAGGUCAAUGCUUUUGGAAAAUGGAGAAAAACCCAGAGAGAUGUCUCCUUAUGCUCAGUGGUAAGGGUACUACAACCUUGGCUCCCUCAUUGCCUACUACACAUAGGUUGGUGCCAUAUUCAUCAUAUUCUCACCUUUCUAUAGAGGAAAAAUUAUUUUAUACUUUAUGUAGCUGUGACCAAAGAUUUCACAAAAUAGAGCAGGAUAAGUGAGAACAGUUCUUCUCUUUCUCUCUUUUUGCAUCAAGCUAGUUUCUGUACUUCAUCUUUAUCAUUGUUGCCAGGCAAUGGCGUAUCCAUCAUCCCAGAUCCUCUUACACUAACCAUUGUUAUGGCAGGACAAGAAACUGAACUGUCAUCUAGUAGGCGCUCGAUAAGUACAUGCUGAAUUAAACAAGAACAUGUCUUCCUAUAUCUAAAUUGUCAUCUGUUGUGCACACGGAGUUUCAAUGAAAUUUGAAAACACUUCCUUUCCGUGUGAUUUUUGGAGAUCCCUUUCAUGAGCUUAUUUUUAUUGAAUACAUGUUCUACCUGUGAACUGCCAGAAACAUUCAGUCAGUUUGAAGAACGAAGAACAUAGGAGCAGAAAAACAGCAAAAGCAAAGAAAAAGAGGAUAAAGGAGAUUUUUAGUCCUUUUGUUGCUGGAUUUUUUCCAGAAGUUUUUGGAUGUUUAUCUUUGUCUCAGAGUUAUUAGAACACGGCAGGAACCCUUUUUGUUAUUAUUUUAAUUUUUUUCUUAUUCUAUAUUAUCAAAACUUGGCAUUAUUGAUGAAACAAUCUUAGUUAAUAGGUCUUUCUUUUAGAAUGAGCAAUUCCAUUCAAGAAAUGAUUGUGAGAACCUUAUAGUUUUGUAUAUAACAUUUUUACUAAGUAGUGUGUUAUUUGAUAUACAAUGAGGUGAUAAAGAACAUGGUUUUGAAGGUAGAGAGUGUUAGUUUUGGGUCCCAGAGAUAAAACUUCAGCAGUUAACUCAAUCCUUCUAGGCGUCUGAUCCUUAAGUGGAAAUGUGGGCUUGCAUGCUUGCAAAUGUUAUCAUGUGUUCUAAGACCUUAACACAGUGCCUGGUAUAUAAUAAGCACAUGAUAUGUAUUAUUAUUAUUAUUACACCUGUAAAAUUUAAUGAGAAGACAAAAUGUCCAUAAUUGAAAGAGUAUGAUAUAAGAGACAAUAACAAAUUAUACAUAGAGCUACUGUGGAAACACUGAAAAAGCAGCUUACUAAUAUGACAGCAUGGUAAAUAUUUCCCUCAGAGAGAAAAUGUUUUUCCUGUAAUAAUUUUUUGGGUUUCUAUUCUUGUAUAUAAGACACAAUUGUAAGUCAUACUCUUGAACGAGCAAAUGUGAACUGGACAGUAAAGAACCAGAAGGAUUUCAACAAAUGGAGAUGUAGGGGAGACAUUUCAGACUACAGGAGGGAGAAAAUGUGAAGGAAGGUGUAUAUAGGGAAGCAAGCUAAGUGUCUCCAGGAAUACUUGUCCUGAAGUCCACAGAGUUGGUGAAGAAUAGGGCAACGUAAAGGUGGGAGAGUCAACACCAGAUUGCAGAGGGGCAUCUGUCGCCCUAAUGAUUACCCAGGUAAGUUCAAUGGUUUUGGCUACUUGUCACCCACCAUUUAAUGUGCAUCCCUACUCAAACAUAUCCCACUGGAAGGAGAAAAUCUAUUUCAGCCAAAGAAGGGAUAUUCUUGCUUCAGUAAUUUGCUAGUAGCUAAACUGCCCUGCUGGAACCAUUAAACAAAAUCUAAAGAUUCAUUUAUGGUACAAAAAAUAAUAUCAUCUCUUCAUCCCCUGCUUGGGUGGAAGGUACAGGAUGCUGUGCAUGGGUGUGGGUGAUUCGGGGACUCUAUUGAAGAGGAGUACUUUCCUGGAGGCCUCUUACCAGCAUUCAGUCAAAUUCCGCCUCAAGAACAGAGUCAAGGGAAGCAGUCUUGGCGGGAGAAGUUUCUGAUAAUGAGAAUAGACUAACAAGAGCUGUCCAGAGAUGUGCAAAAUCCCACUGGUUCGCUCCUCAAUUCCUUGUACUAUAGUAAGUUUACUCACAGGCUCAAAUACCUUGAGAGACAUCUAGAGGAGUCUUUACAGGCCAGAAUGAAAAAUUAUCAUUCAAAAUACAUUGUGAUUUUCAGUGAAAUGCAAAUCACAAUUUUAACUAUAAAUAGAGCUCUCCAGAGCUCAAGGUUCAAAUGAGGUCACAUUAACAUUUAACUCAACUCUCACUCAUUCUUGUUGUCCUCCCUUUCUUCAACAGGUCUCCAGGCCCAGGUGAAGUACACAAACCAACAUUUGUGCUGCUUUACUAGGGUAAAGCUUUGCCAUCCACAGUUCCUGACUAAUGGCCAGCGCUACUUCUCUAGUCAUAGCAAGAGCCAGGGUUGCUCUGCUGGCCCCCUGGAAACAGCCCUGCCUCCAAUGAUCUCUGAUGGGCAAACAUCACAGCUUCACCUUGCUGUCAAGAACAACUGUAGUUUGCUGGGUUGAGUCAGCAGAAUGCAACAAGGGGAAGAUUCCCACCAUUCUGGAGUAAACUCUUUCAAAGCAAUGUUGGGUUUUUCUCAAUGAUUUACGAAUAGCUUUUUUGAAAUUUUCUUAUAGUCCCUUACAUGUACACAGGGCAAGACCAAAGCCAAAUUAAAGAAAUAGAAAUCAUAAACUCUGAAGAAUCUCUAUUCCUCUUUGGAUUACUAAGAAUUUGUUUCUCAGUUGAUGCUAUUUUGCUAGGCAACUUCCAAAAUUUCCUAGAGCAAAAUUUCUCUCACGACAUUUUCAGGGCCCACAUCAAUAGACUUCUGUCAGUUUAUCCCAUUAAUUUUCAGAAACACAAUUGUGGAUAUCUGGACUCUAAUAAGUGGUGCAGAUCCAAGAGAAUCUUUGCCUCCAUAUGAAUGGAAUUUUAUCAGGUUGGUCCCAUCAGAUUUCCAAAUAUGUCCAUAAAUACCUAAAAUCCUAGCAGUGUACAGAUAGAGCUAAAUUCAAAAUGAGAAGGUACCUGUUACAUUAAAAAUUAU
Long non-coding RNA from Equus caballus (horse), 5757 nucleotides. The record is from Ensembl. NCBI's taxonomy places the organism in Eukaryota, Metazoa, Chordata, Mammalia, Perissodactyla, Equidae.